UUUUUUUUUUUUUUUUUUUUUUUUUUGAGAGAAGCUCAAAUCUUCAAGGAGUAGCAAUCCUUUAAACAUUUAAAUUGUAAGUAGGCUAUCUAUUUCUUUAUAUGGUGAUCUUGGGGGAGAGAACCAUGAUACAGGAACAGUAGGUAAUAUGGACCAGGUACUUUUGAUGGCUAUGCCACUUUCUGAUAAUAAUAUACAUAUAUUUUUAGUAGGUGUAACUAAGCUUCAUAUAUUAACUCUAGUCACUGAUAUGGCCACUUUAAUAAACACACUGGAUACAGAUUCCUUUCAGAUGAAAGAGAAGAAGGCUUCUUAGGGGGGGAAAAAGAGUCUAAUAAGGAUCUUUCAUUUUCAGUUAGUCAACCUGUUUUCUCUAUGCUCUGUAAUACAUAGCUUCAAUGCAGAACCAAAGGGCCACAUAUCUGAAAAAGGGUAAACUGAUAUACCCGAACACAGAUAAUCAGUUCUGUUCACCGGACCAGACUGCAAAUGUCAGAGCCACAAAUUUGAUCUCUAUCAAAUGUAUUCAUUUCCAGCUGAUCUCCGAUCACAUUUCCUAUCAGUUCCCUAAUGACCAUCUUCCUAAAGCUUCCCAAGAGUUAACCAGUUAUGUGUCUAGUUAUCAAUUCAAAUAUUACCACCAAAAACCCCCAACAAAACUGUUAAACAACAAAUUCAGCUAAGGAUGGAACAGGAAAUAAGUGAGUAGCUAAAAUAUUUUUUAUUGGAAGGAUGAGGUUAUAAGUGAUUUACUCACUGGUUGGGCGAUUCAUGGGAUUCUGCUGAGUUACUUAUGAACAUAAUCUGAUUCUAGUUGUUAUGGCAACAUACAAGAAAAAAGUAGAAAAAAUUCACGAAUAAAUUUUUCUUGAAAUGAUCCAAAAUAUUAGCUGUUAAAUGAGAGCAGAAAAGUGAUGAACAUUUGAAGAAAAAUAGAAGUCUUGCUUUGCCCUCAGGACAGUUCUUUCCUACUCCCCCCUCUAUUAAUAUGCAAGGCGUGAAACAUUAAAUGUCACAUCCAUGUCAUACUCUAAUGCCUAUGCACUGAAGAAUCAGAGUGUAGAAUUCUUUGCCAACAUGACUUGGGCUUAAAAAAAAAAAUCCAUUAACCAGAAGAAAAAAGGUCAAAAACAUAAUUCUUAGUUUUCCUUCAAAUUUUCUACCAAAAUGAGGACAAAUUGGAAAAAAAAAUUCCCAGGCUUUUAAGACACCAUUUUCUCAAUUUUCUAGUGGAAGAUAGUGCCCUGAAUAAAGAAGUCAUGAAAAAGCAUCAAACUCUCUUUUAUCAUUCCUGAAUAAAAACUUAUAGCUUCAUCCAGGAAAGGAAACACAUAAAACUUUUUAGGGAGAGAAGCCACUGUUGGAUGUUCCUUUAAAAUAUUUUUUUAUUGCUAUUGUUUUUCAGAGGAGAGGACUGUUAUUUUUCUCCCAACUAUGCACUUGAUGAUGGUACUAAGAGAGAAAGAAUGUGAACCACUGAUUGUUAUUUCUACUGCCAGCAAAACAGAACUCUGUCAAUAAUGGACCACCAUUACCUAACUCUGCAGCUCUCUUGCACAUGACUCUCGAAUCUUUAUUUCUUGCAUUGAUAGAACUCAAUUGACUUUAGUGGCUGAGAGUUUAUAUGCGUAUUUGAACAAGACUGAUUUUCCCAAUGGCUUGCCAAAGACUGUCUGUAACCAUCAGCAUUCCUGUCUGCAGGCUGCUAGGUGGAAUUAAUAUGUACUUCUGUCCAUUUCUUGGCAGCUAUGAGUCAUCAAGGUCACCCCAAAAACACUUCUAGUCUCACAUAUCAGUACAUAGGCUUUGGUGUAAGUAGGAUGCCAGAGUUGUCGGGUGCUGCUCUGUGCUCAGGGGAUAUGUAAGUACUCAGUUGUUCUGAAUUUGUGGUAGAAGACAUACCUUUUGGAUUAGCUUUCCUCCGAUCUGCUACUCUAUAACUCAUCUGUUUCAUCCUUCUUAAUGAGGAAAAAAUUAACUUCUUAAAUUCCACACUAGUGGUUUCCAUUUUUCUCUGUGUAUACAUCACAUGUUCAAAUACAAGCGUCCCUGAAGUGAGCAAUGACUUAUUAUAGGAGGACAAUGUUCUGUGGCUUCAGGACAUCUAUCUGAGAUUUUGCAUUUUUUCUUGUGGUCACCCUCAGACCUUGUCUUCUUAAGUAAAACUAUUUACUGCCCUGACUGAUUGGAAAUCAGGUCCUGGGAAUGCAGUGGGGGAACAAACAGACACAGUCCCUGUCCUCAUUUAGUCCAUGUCCUGGGGAUGGAGACAGGCGUUAGGCAGAUAAUUAUGCAAACUAUUUAGCUCUAUCAUAAUAGAUUGAGUGGAGAGAGACAAAACAAGCAACAAACAAAUUUAAAUACUAUUAUAGAUAAAUGUUUUCUCUCUUUCCUCUCCUUCAUUUUUUCCUUUAAAGAGCUUGGGGGAAAGCGAUCAGUAUAUUCUGUUCACAUUACCAAUCAGCAACUGUUAAAUACCCUGACAACACCAGAUGUCGACUCUGAAAUGAAAGGCAUCUGGUCUAGUGCAGGAGAAACAGCACGUGCAAGCAUGGGCCCGGGCUCUAAAAUCUGCUCUGAAACACCUUGUUGGGUUUUGGGGAAUUUUAGGACAAAACUAGCAACUGGUGCUCCAUCAGCCUGUGCCCUCUGGGGAUUUCCUGUGGCUUCAAAGUGCUCCCAGAGACAGAAGUUUCUCUUGUUGCCUUUAUCAACACAGGAUGUUCACCAAAGCCAGCACUGUGCCCUUCUGACCACAGCACGGCUGCUGAUUUUCUUGGUAAGGCAAAGAGCGGAAAUGAUAUUUGAAGCCCUUGCCAACCACAAGAGGAUUUGUGAACCUUGGAGAGAAAAAUAAGCAACUUUGAAGAGCCAGGGGAAAAAAGUACUGGGUAGAGAAUCAGGAGACCCAACUUUUUGCCCUGGCUCCAUUACUAAAAAUUUGCUCAGAAAUGGUGGGCAGUCCAUUUUAUAUCUCCCUGGGCCUCCUCCAUUAGUGAAUGAGCUGGUUAGAUCAUCUCUAAGACAGGCAGGGUAAUGAAGUAACAAGAGGAUUUGGGGGAGAGGCAGAUAUGGAUUUGCAUCGCUGCUUUCCCAAUUCACUAGAUGAGUAACUUAGGAGGUUAUUUAGUUCCUCAACAUCUUGGUUUCCUCUUCUGAAAAAUGGACAUGAUUAUCCCUACUUCAUAGGGCUGUUUUCAGGGUAUGAGUAUUAAAUAAAGUGCUUAUCACAGUGCCUAGCUAAGUGCUAAGUGUUAGCUAUUAAGCUUUUAAGAAAAUUCAUAUAAUUGCUUUGUAAUUAAGGUAAAUUAAUACUUUUUAAGGUAAAUCAAUAUUUAUAUAACAUUUCAUAAAAGAGGUACCUAUAACAAGGAUGCUGAAAAAGUCUAUUUAUGUUUGUAGUUAUAAGGGGUGUGUGUGUGUGUGUAAAUGUAUGCAUGGGUAUACAAAAACACUUGUUUAUUUAAGUACAAUAUAGUUUUCAAUGCUUAAAGCAUAACUGGAUGUAGGAGAGGUCUUCUGAUCUAUAAUUAAAAGCAUUCUCCUGAAUGUGUGUAAAAGUAUAAACCUUUCUUCAGAAAGCAUAUUGAGUCAUGGAAAGAUGGAAAAUGAAAUAUUAAAACUUGUUUUAAAUUACAUUAUGUGUUACCAUUUAUGAAAUCUAUAGUAUGGGGGCUUUUGUCAAAUAAGGAUGCUCUGUUUGUGGUAUC
RNAcentral lists this long non-coding RNA (3710 nucleotides) under Canis lupus familiaris (dog). Its description in RNAcentral is "lncRNA (ENSCAFG00845011440.1)". The record is from RNAcentral. Lineage: Eukaryota; Metazoa; Chordata; Mammalia; Carnivora; Canidae.